This is a long non-coding RNA of Mesoplodon densirostris (Blainville's beaked whale), 1097 nucleotides long. RefSeq lists it as uncharacterized. The transcript is spliced from 3 exons. Lineage: Eukaryota; Metazoa; Chordata; Mammalia; Artiodactyla; Ziphiidae. The record is from RefSeq and is a predicted model, not a curated record.
GAGCCGGAGUUGGCGGAGGUGCGCGGCAGCCUCUGCGGCCCACGCGGGUGCCCCCCACGCGGAGCAGCGAGGGGCCGGCAGAUAAUUAGGAAGCGGUGGUUCUGGCUUUACUGCAGGUUAUUUGACUGUAAGCUAAUACACAUUAACGUUUAAGGACGGCCGUGCUUCCGAGCUCCUGGGCAUCAGCGGUCACUUCCCCGGCCCGUGGACUGGCUGCUGCGGAGGCCGCGGAGUCACGAGUAGCGCGUGUGUUUCCGAGCUCCGUUCAGAGUGAAAACCUUGCCCCAAGCAGCUUCAGCUGGGCUUCCAGAGUCGCCUGCCAGACGGAGUUUGUGUUGCACUGAACAAUAAAACAUCCUGAGCAUAAAGCACCAUAGUGCUGCUUCCUGGAUGGAGAAGAGAAGCCGGUGUUCCAUGCCAGAAUGUGACUUCCUGGUGAUACACAGAGUCCAAGAAGCAGCGGCCAGACUCUUGGGGACCAGAGCCACAGCGGACCACGCUCUCCAGAUUCCAGGUGGAAAGACGCGGCAGAGGGGGUGACGUCGGGUCCGUCCUGCCCCGGGUGUGGCAUCUCCUGUCCUGGCCAGCCUUCUCCAGGUCGCUGGUCACCACCUCCUGUCCCCUCUCACAGCAGCUCUGUUCCUGACGAUCAGAGAGGCAGGACACAAGACAAGAGCCAUUCUUCCCUGGAAUGCGUCACCGUCCUGCGGAAGGACCCACUGGAAUCUUGAUUUUAUGCCCAGGAAACCUCUCCCGCGCUGACCCCCCACCAGCUGCGAGACCCUCCAGCACGAAGCACAGGUCACCUGGGUGCCCCUGAAACAGCGCCCGGGGCAAUGUUAAAGUGCCUCCGUCCCUUCUGUGGAGCCAGAGAGCCGGCAGGUGAUUGAAUGCGAUCAAAGAGUGGAUCUUCACCCAUGCCCGACUGGCACCCACGCGUGGCAGCGGCGGGACCCUGGCCCCCUCCCUUGGGCUCUAAGGCUUCUUCGACGCAAAACCUACCCACAACACCAGGGCGCAGAGUGGGGCUGUGUCUGAGUGAGAGGCCCCCACUGCUGUGUUUCUUGCUUUCUCUUCUUCUUUUCCCCACUGUAAUA